UCUCAGUUCGGAUUGGAGUCUGCAACCCGACUCCAUGAAGCUGGAUUCGCUAGUAAUCGCGCAUCAGCCACGGCGCGGUGAAUACGUUCCCGGGCCUUGUACACACCGCCCGUCAAGUCAUGAAAGUGGGCAGCACCCGAAGACGGUGGCCUAACCCUUGUGGGGGGAGCCGUCUAAGGUGAGGCUCGUGAUUGGGACUAAGUCGUAACAAGGUAUC
RNAcentral lists this ribosomal RNA (217 nucleotides) under uncultured bacterium. Its description in RNAcentral is "partial 16S ribosomal RNA". It matches the Rfam family "Bacterial small subunit ribosomal RNA", at positions 1286 to 1500 of the family's 1533-position model. The record is from RNAcentral.